RNAcentral lists this ribosomal RNA (1495 nucleotides) under human oral metagenome. RNAcentral describes it as "bacterial LSU rRNA". It matches the Rfam family "Bacterial large subunit ribosomal RNA", at positions 1062 to 2570 of the family's 2925-position model. The record is from RNAcentral.
AGUGGGAAACGAAGUGGGAAGGCUUAGACAGCUAGGAGGUUGGCUUAGAAGCAGCCAUCCUUUAAAGAAAGCGUAAUAGCUCACUAGUCGAGUCGUCCUGCGCGGAAGAUUUACCGGGGCUAAACUGUCUACCGAAGCUGCGGAUUUGCAUGCAAAUGCAAGUGGUAGGGGAGCGUUGUGUAAGCUGAUGAAGGUGUGUUGAGAAGCAUGCUGGAGGUAUCACAAGUGCGAAUGCUGACAUGAGUAACGAUAAUGCGGGUGAAAAACCCGCACACCGAAAACCCAAGGUUUCCUGCGCAACGCUAAUCGGCGCAGGGUGAGUCGGCCCCUAAGGUGAGGCGGAAACGCGUAGCUGAUGGGAAACAGGUUAAUAUUCCUGUACUGAUCAUAAUUGCGAUGGGGGGACGGAGAAAGCUAGGCCAGCACACUGUUGGAUGUGUGUUUAAGCGCGUAGGUUGAAGACUUAGGCAAAUCCGGGUCUUUAAGACUGAAACGUGAUGACGAGUUUCUACGGAAACGAAGUGGUUGAUGCUCUGCUUCCAGGAAAAGCCUCUAAGCUUCAGAUUAUGAUUAACCGUACCCCAAACCGACACAGGUGGGUAGGAAGAGAAUUCCAAGGUGCUUGAGAGAACUCGGGUAAAGGAACUCGGCAAAAUGAUACCGUAACUUCGGGAGAAGGUAUGCCUCUGAUGGUGAAUAGCUGUUGGAGGCCGCAGAGAAUAGGCCGCUGCGACUGUUUAACAAAAACACAGCACUCUGCAAACACGUAAGUGGACGUAUAGGGUGUGACGCCUGCCCGGUGCCGGAAGGUUAAUUGAUGGGGUGCAAGCUCUUGAUCGAAGCCCCGGUAAACGGCGGCCGUAACUAUAACGGUCCUAAGGUAGCGAAAUUCCUUGUCGGGUAAGUUCCGACCUGCACGAAUGGCGUAACGAUGGCGGCGCUGUCUCUACCCGAGACUCAGUGAAGUUGAAAUCGCUGUGAAGAUGCAGUGUACCCGCGGCAAGACGGAAAGACCCCGUGAACCUUCACUAUAGCUUGACACUGAACAUUGAAACAAGUUGCAUAGGAUAGGUGGGAGGCUAAGAAGCAGAGACUCUGGUUUCUGUGGAGCCAUCCUUGAAAUACCACCCUGCUUGUUUUGAUGUUCUAACGUAGACCCGUUAUCCGGGUUGCAGACAGUGUCUGGUGGGUAGUUUGACUGGGGCGGUCUCCUCCCAAAGAGUAACGGAGGAGCACGAAGGUUUGCUAAUCACGGUCGGACAUCGUGAGGUUAGUGCAAUGGUAUAAGCAAGCUUAACUGCGAGACAGACAAGUCGAGCAGGUACGAAAGUAGGUCAUAGUGAUCCGGUGGUUCUGAAUGGAAGGGCCAUCGCUCAACGGAUAAAAGGUACUCCGGGGAUAACAGGCUGAUUCCGCCCAAGAGUUCAUAUCGACGGCGGAGUUUGGCACCUCGAUGUCGGCUCAUCACAUCCUGGGGCUGAAGUAGGUCCCAAGG